UACGUAGGGGGCUAGCGUUGUCCGGAAUCAUUGGGCGUAAAGCGCGUGUAGGCGGUCCGGUAAGUCCGCUGUGAAAGUCGGGGGCUCAACCCUCGGAUGCCGGUGGAUACUGUCGGGCUUGAGUACGGAAGAGGCGAGUGGAAUUCCCGGUGUAGCGGUGAAAUGCGCAGAUAUCGGGAGGAACACCAAUGGCGAAGGCAGCUUGCUGGGACGGUACUGACGCUGAGGCGCGAAAGCGUGGGGAGCAAACAGG
RNAcentral lists this ribosomal RNA (253 nucleotides) under uncultured bacterium. RNAcentral describes it as "partial 16S ribosomal RNA". It matches the Rfam family "Bacterial small subunit ribosomal RNA", at positions 524 to 776 of the family's 1533-position model. The record is from RNAcentral.